Bos taurus (domestic cattle) is the source of this 2028-nucleotide long non-coding RNA. Lineage: Eukaryota; Metazoa; Chordata; Mammalia; Artiodactyla; Bovidae. The record is from Ensembl.
CAGUUCCAUAAAUACCUAAGCAGUGCAGUGCCUUGAGGAAAUGAAAAAGAAGCAAUAGUUUUGAAGCUUUUUCCUCCUCUCCUCGCAAUUCCAGUUGUUAUAAAAUUUCAUAAAAUGCGGGAAAGUAAUCCUGGAUGGGGAACACACGUGUAGAGAGAAGACGUGCUCCUUUCAAGGGGCGUGGGCAGCAGGACGCUGGCCCUGCCUAUGGGACAGGAGUGGGGAGGGGCACAGUCCUCUCCUCUCUCAGGGCUGGAGGCUCUGAAGGUCCAUGCAUUCCACUCCAUUUCCUAGGAAGUCUGCAAAGCACAGCUGCUGUGCUGUCUCUCAAAGGGAGAACCUUCUCUUCGUAGAGCUGCUUUGUCUCUGCUGACUGAUUGCACCUCCCCAACUGUCUCCUAGAUUUCAGGAUAAAAGCUAAAUAGAGCGCCCAUGGGAAAAAGGGCAGGUGGAUUUCUGUAUCCCAGGAAAGAGAUGCUAUCAGUGGUCCUGAAAGCACAUAAGCACUUCCUCUUGAGCCCUGAGGGGCAUGUCUAGCGAUGAGCAGCAGGGCAAGGUUCUGUCCAAGGCAGAAACCUUAGACUUGACACCCUGCCUGGCACACAGCACACACUCAUGAUCAUGAAUGUUGAAGUUCACCAUUUUAUGGUAGGUGAUUUGUCUUGUAAUUUUUUCUGGUAAGGACUAGAUAUUGGGGAGUUGUUUGGUUGUUUACUUUUUUCCCCCAGCACUUUAUUAUGAAAUUUCUCAAAUACGCAGAAUUAUUGAAAAAAUUUUACAAUGAUCACUACCUAGAAUUCACAAAUAGCCUUAUCACUUGAGUGCUACUUUUAAUGAGACUUGUUCAAGUUUCGUUUCUCUUUUAAAAGUGUGCUGCUAAAAUAAUUGAACAGCUUUAAGCGAGUUGUUUUAAACUCUGGGGAAAUGUGAUAUUUGCAUUAUAGCUAGAAUUGUAGUCCUUACUUUACACUAGUUUUAAACGUGUAAAUCUGUCCUGGUGAAUUUCAGACUUAAUUAUUUUGCCUGAAGGAAUGUUUUGUUAUAAUAGAAUUAUUUUAAAGUCCUUGAUCAAUUGUACAGAAUAUUCUGAUGUUUUCACACUUGAUAAAUUAUCUAAUUAAUUUUUCUGGUGAGAGUGUAUGUGGGGCUCAUUUUGCUUAAACUAAAUUUCAGGAUAGUGUUCCCAGAGGGCCUGAAGAGGCAGGGUAAUUUAGCAUAUAAACCACUAAAUUAGGAGCUAAGAGAUUUAGAUUUUAUCCCUGACUGACCAUGGACAAAUCACUUCUCUUUAUCUUUGUGUCCAUUUAUGUACUUGUAAAGUGGGGACUAGAAUUUGAUAUUUAGGUUUUAAUAAGUAAUGGGUAACAUCUAUUAAUGCUUGGACCAGUUAAGACGUUUAAAAAAAAAAAAAUACACGAUGCAUCCAACGAGGUUCUCAUAAUUAUCUAACUGUGUGACAAGCUUCAGAAUGAACUCUGAUUUGAAAAAUUGAAGGAUGGGCCAUGGUCAAAAGUAUCUUAUCAAAUACUUAGAACUUGCUGUUGCCACAGAAUUUGUGAGUGGUUUCCCUGAUCCAUCUGGACUGUGAAAAUUAUGUACUUUGUGAGAGGGUGAAUGGGAGGCCAUUUCCUCCUCUAGAAAAUCUUCCCGACCCAGGGAUCAAAUCCUCGUCUCCUGUAUCGCCUACACUGCUUUUGGAUUCUUUACCUCUGAUCCAUCAGGGAAGCCCUAAAGAUGGGAGGAGGCAGACAUUAAUCACAGCAAGAUUGAAAAUCAAUGUCGAGUUAAAGAACAGGUUGUAUGGAAGGGUGGGGCUUAAAGGAGUCAUCCUGAUUCAGUGCCACAACAUUCCACUGCUCCCCAAUCGACCCACACAACAACAACACCAGCCCUGCUCCUGCCAGCCCAACCUCAGGAGGUCUCCGUCAGGUCAAUACAAUUGAAUUACAGGAUCGACCAGGAGCUAAGCAGGGUCUCUCUGCUCCAUUUAGUAGAUGAGUGUACCCUGUUCUUUCUAUUAGUAAACCC